Molecule: transfer RNA, 71 nt
Filed under: Streptomyces aurantiogriseus
Lineage: Bacteria; Bacillati; Actinomycetota; Actinomycetes; Kitasatosporales; Streptomycetaceae
Description: tRNA-Ala(ggc)
Source: RNAcentral
GGCGGCCUCGGCGGGUCCGAGGUCCCGCGCCGGCAGCGCGGCCGGUGCCGGUUCCGUGCCGGUGUCCGCCU